UUCCUACGGGCGGCUGCAGUGGGGAAUCUUGCACAAUGGGGGAAACCCUGAUGCAGCGACGCCGCGUGAGCGAUGAAGCCCUUCGGGGUGUAAAGCUCUUUCGGCGGGGACGAAAGAAGACGGUACCCGCAGAAGCAGCUGCGGCUAACUACGUGCCAGCAGCCGCGGUAAUACGUAGGCAGCGAGCGUUGUUCGGAGUUACUGGGCGUAAGGGGUGUGUAGGCGGUUCUCCGUGUCUGGUGUGAAAUCUCCCGGCUCAACUGGGAGGGUGCGCCGGAAGCUGGAGGGCUUGGAGUGCGGGAUGGGGGAGUGGAAUUCCUGGUGUAGCGGUGAAAUGCGUAGAUAUCAGGAGGAACACCGGUGGUGUAGACGGCUCUCUGGACCGUAACUGACGCUGAGACACGAAAGCGUGGGUAGCAAACAGGAUUAGAUACCCUUGUAGUCACG
RNAcentral lists this ribosomal RNA (447 nucleotides) under uncultured Candidatus Solibacter sp. RNAcentral describes it as "bacterial SSU rRNA". It matches the Rfam family "Bacterial small subunit ribosomal RNA", at positions 336 to 799 of the family's 1533-position model. The record is from RNAcentral. Lineage: Bacteria; Pseudomonadati; Acidobacteriota; Terriglobia; Bryobacterales; Solibacteraceae.